This 489-nucleotide ribosomal RNA is filed under the name uncultured Dyadobacter sp. RNAcentral's name for it is "partial 16S ribosomal RNA". Lineage: Bacteria; Pseudomonadati; Bacteroidota; Cytophagia; Cytophagales; Spirosomataceae. The record is from RNAcentral.
CACGGAGUUAGCCGGUGCUUAUUCAUUCGGUACCGUCACACAGGGACGCAUCCCCGCUCUUCUUCCCGAAUAAAAGCCGUUUACAACCCUGAGGGCCUUCAUCCGGCACGCGGCAUGGCUGGGUCAGACUUGCAUCCAUUGCCCAAUAUUCCCUACUGCUGCCUCCCGUAGGAGUCGGGCCCGUAUCUCAGUGCCCGUGUGGGGGAUCAACCUCUCAGCUCCCCUAUCGAUCGUCGCCUUGGUAGGCCGUUACCCAUACCAACUAGCUAAUCGAACGCAUGCCCAUCUUCAACCAAUAAAUCUUUAACAAAUAGACCCAUGUGGGCCCCCUGUAUUAUGCGGUAUUAAUCCGGGUUUCCCCGGGCUAUCCCCCAGUUGAAGGUAGGUUGCAUACGCGUUACGCACCCGUACGACGGUGACAUUGCUGCCCCCUCGCCUUGCAUGUAUUAAGCCUGCCGCUAGCGUUCAUCCUGAGCCAGGAUCAAACUC